Molecule: long non-coding RNA, 1553 nt
Organism: Panthera uncia (snow leopard)
Lineage: Eukaryota; Metazoa; Chordata; Mammalia; Carnivora; Felidae
Exons: 4
Source: RefSeq, a predicted model, not a curated record
UUAUAAUCUUCCAAAUAGCACAUUAUGGAUAUUUGUCAUCGCCAGAGAAGCCUUAGUUUGGCAAGAAAGGUCCCCAAAUCCCCAUGUAAGUUUCCCUGUAAGUCAUGGGUCAGGAGGGAUAGAGGAUGUGUCUUCACAAUUAGCUGUCAGAAAUCAUCCUGAGCGACAUGAGCAUCAAUCCACUGUGCCCAAAACUAAAACAAAUCUUAGAACAUGCAUUAUGACAUAUUCUCAUGGAGUGCAAGAGUCAACAAUGAGCCACUUUUUCCACUUGAACUGUCACCUUCUAGAACAGAUCCCAGGUAAGAACAGAGACUAGCUCCCUGCUCCUUCACCCGCAGCCCUGAAUCUCCCCCUCUAUUUCCCUCCUCGAUCCUCCUGUCCAAUAGAGGCUACCCCCACUCACCGCAGGGUGAUGCAGAAAAUCAGAGGAGGCCACGGGAAGAGAGGGAGGCUCACAGCACACUCAGCUAAGUGAGAGUGCUGUUAACAGUGAGGUCGGGGAAGGUCAGUCUUGUUUUCCUAAUGGCUAAGAGAUGGAGAUCUGGGGACCCUCUUUACUCUGACUGAAGCUUCACCCCAGAAGAUUUUUCUUGAAGACUCUCCGAGUAAAGAGGAGGGACAUGUAAGACACAGGGACCUCUGACCACAUCCCCUCCAUGUCCAGCUUUGCUGCACCAAGAGAGAGAUGUCCACCAGGUCAAUGAGGAGGAUUGCUUUGUGGUUUCUUUGUCCGCAUCAAAUCAUGUGUGACUAGCAGGAGAUUUGCUUGACAUCUCUUUUCACAUAAGAGAGAGAAAUGGAGCACAAGCCAGGGAGGGGCAAGAAAGAGACAGAGACACAGAAUCUGAAGCAGGCUGCAGGGUCUCAGCUGGCAGCACAGAAACCGACACAGGGCUUGAACUCACGAACGCAACCUCCUCAGCAACCACCUUAGGAGGUGGAGGGAGCAUGGAUCCCUGAGUACCGGAUGGAAGAGGACCCUACCAGCCUACAGCAAAUGCUUCAGACUUCCAUUGUGUUGCACCGCUGAGCUUUAGGGGCUUACCUGCUAAGGCAUAAGUUUUGUUUAUCCUAAUUAAUGAAUGUUUGUUGAACUGGUAAAUGAAUAUUCUCUUUGGUCCUUAUAGUAAAUUUAAGGUAGAUUAGUUACUUCCACUUGCCAGAUAAGGAAGGAGAUUCAGAGUUAAGAAGUAACAGAGCCAGAAGUUAAAUUUAUGUCUUCAAAUCCCAUGCUCUUUCGACUAUACCUGGCCGCCUGCAAAAAUACAGUCUCAUGUAUGUUUUAUGUGAAAUUUAGCAAAAGUUACCUCAGUGUAAUAGAGGUUAGGGACUUUCCAAAUGAGAGGGUCCCCUGGUCGUCACUGCUGUCAGGACAGGGUUGUCAUCUUGGAUGCAGUCAAGGCCUCCUGAAUCCAAGCACCUGAAAGAAGAGCCUUGGUCAAGUGUUUUCUCGCCUCAGGGUGGAGGGAGGAGGGUCCGCAGGGGGAUUUCUACCCCUCCUUUUCCCAGCUUAGGGAAGAGGAAUCUCCAUCCCCUAAGCAGAUGGUCAA